This 468-nucleotide ribosomal RNA is filed under the name uncultured bacterium. RNAcentral's name for it is "partial 16S ribosomal RNA". It matches the Rfam family "Bacterial small subunit ribosomal RNA", at positions 28 to 507 of the family's 1533-position model. The record is from RNAcentral.
GACGAACGCUGGCGGCGUGCUUAACACAUGCAAGUCGAACGGAAAGGCCCUGCUUUUGUUGGGUGCUCGAGUGGCGAACGGGUGAGUAACACGUGAGUAACCUGCCCUUGACUUUGGGAUAACUUCAGGAAACUGGGGCUAAUACCGGAUAUGAGCUCCUGCUGCAUGGUGGUGGUUGGAAAGUUUCGGCGGUUGGGGAUGGACUCGCGGCUUAUCAGCUUGUUGGUGGGGUAGUGGCUUACCAAGGCUUUGACGGGUAGCCGGCCUGAGAGGGUGAACGGCCACAUUGGGACUGCGAUACGGACCAGAAUCCUACGGGAGGCAGCAGUGGGGAAUAUUGCACAAUGGGCGGAAGCCUGAUGCAGCAACGCCGCGUGCGGGAUGACGGCCUUCGGGUUGUAAACCGCUUUCGCAUGUGACGAAGCGUGAGUGACGGUAAUGGGUAAAGAAGCACCGGCUAACUACGUG